Molecule: RNase P RNA, 479 nt
Filed under: Cohnella sp. AR92
Lineage: Bacteria; Bacillati; Bacillota; Bacilli; Caryophanales; Paenibacillaceae
Description: Bacterial RNase P class A
Rfam family: Bacterial RNase P class A
About the family: Ribonuclease P (RNase P) is a ubiquitous endoribonuclease, found in archaea, bacteria and eukarya as well as chloroplasts and mitochondria.
Source: Rfam by way of RNAcentral
AAAGUUUGACAGACAAUCGCUGGCGGCGCGAGCCGCGAGAGGAAAGUCCGGGCUCCAUAGGGCAGGAUGCUGGAUAACGUCCAGUCGGCGCGAGCCGAAGGAUAGUGCCACAGAAAUGGACCGCCGAUGACUCAUCCCCGAACUGGUUUUGGGGCCCCCGCAAAGUAAUCGGAAUAAGCUUCGAAGCUUACCGUCACUUUGUGGGGAUUGAGAACAGGCAAGGGUGGAACCGUGGUGUAAGAGACCACGAGGGGCAUGGGUGACCAUGCGCCUGGUAAACCCCAUCUGGAGCAAGACCGAAGAGGAACGCAGCAGUCUUCGAGACUGCAGCCCUAGCCCGGGGCGCGUUCGGGUUGGUCGCUUGAGCGUGCCGGCAACGGUACGCCUAGAAAGAUGAUUGUCGCUUCCAUCCGUGGGAGGACCGCCCGGUCCGCGAUACCACCGGAAGUACAGAACCCGGCUUACGGCAAACUUUCCGG